Molecule: ribosomal RNA, 253 nt
Filed under: uncultured bacterium
Lineage: Bacteria
Description: partial 16S ribosomal RNA
Rfam family: Bacterial small subunit ribosomal RNA
Source: RNAcentral
GACAGAGGCCACGAGCGUUAGGCGGAAUCACUGGGCGUAAAGGGUGCGUAGGUGGCCGGUUAAGUCUGACGUGAAAUCUCCGAGCCUAACUCGGAAACUGCAUCGGAAACUAUCCGGCUCGAGGGUUGGAGGGGGGACUGGAAUACUUGGUGUAGCAGUGAAAUGCGUAGAUAUCAAGUGGAACACCAGUGGCGAAGGCGAGUCCCUGGACAACUCCUGACACUGAGGCACGAAAGCUAGGGGAGCAAACAGG